Long non-coding RNA from Egretta garzetta (little egret), 134 nucleotides. RefSeq lists it as uncharacterized. Lineage: Eukaryota; Metazoa; Chordata; Aves; Pelecaniformes; Ardeidae. The record is from RefSeq and is a predicted model, not a curated record. The transcript has 3 exons.
CCUGCUCUUAAGCAGACGUGCACAGAAAACCCUGAAAGACUUAGACAGCUCACAGCAUGUACAGUCAUGAUCCUUUCUCGCAGGGGAUCUUGGAGAACCAGCUGGGUGUUUGACAGUUUAUAUGUUGUCCUUGG